AGUUUGAUCCUGGCUCAGAGCGAACGCUGGCGGCGAUGCCUAACACAUGCAAGUCGAACGCGCAGUUUUCGGUAGCAAUACAGGAGAUGGGCGCGUGGCGAACGGGUGCGUAACACGUGGGCAACCUUCCCUCAAGUGUGGGAUAACCCGCCGAAAGGCGGGCUAAUACCUCAUAACAUUCCGGUGGCUUCUGCCGAUGGAAUCAAAGCCCGCAAGGGCGCUGGAGGAGGGGCCCGCGGCCGAUUAGCUUGUUGGCGAGGUAACGGCUCACCAAGGCAAUGAUCGGUAGCCGGUCUGAGAGGAUGGCCGGCCACACUGGAACUGAGACACGGUCCAGACUCCUACGGGAGGCAGCAGUGGGGAAUCUUGCGCAAUGGGCGAAAGCCUGACGCAGCAACGCCGCGUGGGGGAUGAAGCUUCUCGGAGUGUAAACCCCUUUCGACCCGGACGAAACCCCGCAAGGGAUUGACGGUACGGGUAGAAGAAGCCCCGGCCAACUACGUGCCAGCAGCCGCGGUAAAACGUAGGGGGCCAGCGUUGCUCGGAAUUACUGGGCGUAAAGGGUCCGUAGGCGGUGCGGCAAGUCGGAAGUGAAAUCUCAGGGCUUAACCCUGAGGCUGCUCCCGAAACUGCUGUGCUCGAGUGCGAGAGAGGCGAGUGGAAUUGCCGGUGUAGCGGUGAAAUGCGUAGAUAUCGGCAGGAACACCCGAGGCGAAAGCGGCUCGCUGGAUCGCAACUGACGCUGAGGGACGAAAGCUAGGGGAGCAAACAGGAUUAGAUACCCUGGUAGUCCUAGCCCUAAACGAUCAGGACUGGGCGUGGGCCCCGUACGGGGCUCGUGCCGCAGCUAACGCGUUAAGUCCUGCGCCUGGGGAGUACGGUCGCAAGGCUGAAACUCAAAGGAAUUGACGGGGGCCCGCACAAGCGGUGGAACGUGUGGUUCAAUUCGACGCAACGCGAAGAACCUUACCUGGGCUUGAACCGCGCAGGACCAUCCCGGGAAAUCGGGACUUCCCGCAAGGGACUUGCGUAGAGGUGCUGCAUGGCUGUCGUCAGCUCGUGCCGUGAGGUGUUGGGUUAAGUCCCGCAACGAGCGCAACCCUUGUCAUUAGUUGCUACAUUUAGUUGGGCACUCUAAUGAGACUGCCGGUGACAAACCGGAGGAAGGUGGGGAUGACGUCAAGUCCUCAUGGCCCUUAUAGGUGGGGCUACACACGUCAUACAAUGGCCGGUACAAAGGGCUGCCAACCCGCGAGGGGGAGCUAAUCCCAUAAAACCGGUCGUAGUCCGGAUCGCAGUCUGCAACUCGACUGCGUGAAGUCGGAAUCGCUAGUAAUCGUGGAUCAGAAUGUCACCGGUGAAUACGUUCCCGGGUCUUGCACUCUCC
RNAcentral lists this ribosomal RNA (1387 nucleotides) under uncultured bacterium. RNAcentral describes it as "bacterial SSU rRNA". It matches the Rfam family "Bacterial small subunit ribosomal RNA". The record is from RNAcentral.